Molecule: ribosomal RNA, 187 nt
Filed under: uncultured Glomeromycotina
Lineage: Eukaryota; Fungi; Glomeromycota
Description: partial 18S ribosomal RNA
Source: RNAcentral
CGACGCAAGAUAUUGAGGUCGUCCGAUCCCUAGUCGGCAUAGUUUAAUGUUAAGACUACAACGGUAUCUGAUCGUUUUCGAUCCCCUAACCUUCGUUCUUGAUUAAUGAAAACAUCCUUGGCAAAUGCUUUCGCAAUAGUUUGUCUUGCGUAAAUCCAAGAAUUUCACCUCUAGCAACGCAAUACAA